AUUGAACGCUGGCGGAAUGCUUUACACAUGCAAGUCGAACGGCAGCACGGACUUCGGUCUGGUGGCGAGUGGCGAACGGGUGAGUAAUGUAUCGGAACGUGCCCAGUCGUGGGGGAUAACGUAGUGAAAAUUACGCUAAUACCGCAUACGAUCUAUGGAUGAAGGCGGGGGAUCGCAAGACCUCGCGCGAUUGGAGCGGCCGAUAUCAGAUUAGGUAGUUGGUGGGGUAAAGGCCCACCAAGGCAACGAUCUGUAGCUGGUCUGAGAGGACGACCAGCCACACUGGAACUGAGACACGGUCCAGACUCCUACGGGAGGCAGCAGUGGGGAAUUUUGGACAAUGGGCGAAAGCCUGAUCCAGCCAUUCCGCGUGCAGGAUGAAGGCCCUUGGGUUGUAAACUGCUUUUGUACAGAACGAAAAGGUUUCUACUAAUACUAGGAGCUCAUGACGGUACUGUAAGAAUAAGCACCGGCUAACUACGUGCCAGCCGCCGCGGUAA
RNAcentral lists this ribosomal RNA (500 nucleotides) under uncultured bacterium. RNAcentral's name for it is "partial 16S ribosomal RNA". It matches the Rfam family "Bacterial small subunit ribosomal RNA", at positions 30 to 523 of the family's 1533-position model. The record is from RNAcentral.